RNAcentral lists this transfer RNA (75 nucleotides) under Sphingomonas leidyi. RNAcentral's name for it is "tRNA-Lys". Lineage: Bacteria; Pseudomonadati; Pseudomonadota; Alphaproteobacteria; Sphingomonadales; Sphingomonadaceae. The record is from RNAcentral.
GGGAUACAGCAGGAAAGGCAUGGCCGCUGACUCUUAAUCAGCGGGUCCUAGGUUCGAGCCCUAGUGCGUCCACCA